CCUACGGGCGGCAGCAGUGGGGAAUAUUGGACAAUGGGGGGAACCCUGAUCCAGCGACGCCGCGUGAGUGAAGAAGUAUUUCGGUAUGUAAAGCUCUAUCAGCAGGGAAGAAAGAAAUGACGGUACCUGACUAAGAAGCCCCGGCUAACUACGUGCCAGCAGCCGCUGUAAUACGGAGGGGGCAGGCGUUAUCCGGAUUCACUGGGUGUAAGGGGGGCGUAGACGGCGAUGCAAGUCUGAAGUGAAAGGCGGGGGCCCAACCCCCGGACUGCUUUUGAAACUGUAAGGCUGGAGUGCAGGAGAGGUAAGUGGAAUUCCUAGUGUAGCGGUGAAAUGCAUAGAUAUUAGGAGGAACACCAGUGGCGAAGGCAGCAUACCGGCGCUCAACUGACGCUGAGGCACGAAAGCGUGGGGAUCGAACAGGAUUAGAUACCCCUGUAGUC
RNAcentral lists this ribosomal RNA (443 nucleotides) under uncultured bacterium. RNAcentral's name for it is "partial 16S ribosomal RNA". It matches the Rfam family "Bacterial small subunit ribosomal RNA", at positions 338 to 795 of the family's 1533-position model. The record is from RNAcentral.